UAGGGACUGGCAAGAUAAUCAACUUUAUCAAAUUUGAUACAGGCUGUAAAAACAAAAACAAGCCAGCAAGCAAACAAGAAGAAGAAAACAACAACAACACAAACCUUGAAAUAGACUUGUCAGAUGUAAAUAUUUCUUUUCUAGGGAAGUAGAAGGUGUACAGUGGAGUUUUCUGGAGGCUACAUGACAUGUGAUAAGAAAACAGACUGAAAAAGGGACUAUAUCUAUAAAGAGAAAAUUGCUAUCACUGUUUUUGGUUGGGAAAAACAUUUGUAUGAGAUAAACGUGUUAUUCUUUUCAUAAUCAGACAUUCUUCUCACAAGUGUUGGUUCUCUACCAUUCCUCAAAGGUGAUAAUUUUUUGAAAUAUGUUAUUGUGGAUUCAUGAUUUUGGAUAUAUCCAAUGGGUUUAAGUGCAUUGCAAUAAAAUGGUAUUUUGAUACUCA
Molecule: small RNA, 445 nt
Filed under: Pan troglodytes (chimpanzee)
Lineage: Eukaryota; Metazoa; Chordata; Mammalia; Primates; Hominidae
Description: processed transcript
Source: RNAcentral